Molecule: long non-coding RNA, 1235 nt
Organism: Vulpes vulpes (red fox)
Lineage: Eukaryota; Metazoa; Chordata; Mammalia; Carnivora; Canidae
Source: Ensembl
UGGCGCUCUGCGGCUGGGGAGUAAAUUUCUCCCUGUCAUCAGGUCGCGGGGAGCGGAGGAGGAGGAGGAGUUUGUUAAUGUUCAGUUUGUUCAGCGGGAUCGAUGUUUGCUGGCAUCGCCUCGCCCUGUCUUGUGUGUGUGUGAGUGUGUGAGUGUGCGCGCGUGUGUGUGUGCGCGCGUGUGAGUGUGUGUGUGCGCAUAGGUGGGGGGUGUGAGUGUGUGUCUGUGCGCAUAGGUGGGGGGUGUGAGUGUGCGUGUGUGUGUGUGUGUGUGUGUGUGCGCGCGCGUGUGCGUGUGCGAGUGAGUGGAUUCCGGAUUUUCCGUCUUUCCCCCAACCCGCUCCUGUCCUCUCGCAUAUCACUCACAGACGGGAAUCUGACAGCAGCCACAAACCUACAGUGAGUGAUCUCUCUCCCCCAGCGCGAAUCCGCCAUAGAGACCGGCGAGGAGGAGGAGGAGGAGGANNNNNNNNNNNNNNNNNNNNNNNNNNNNNNNNNNAGAUGAAGAAGGAGGAGGAGGAGGAGGAGGAGGAGGAGGAGGAGGGAAAGAGGAGAAGGAAGAAGAAGGAAAAGAAGAAGAAGAAGCCACUACCUCCCCAGGAUUGCCUGGUUCUCCCCCUUCUCUUUACGCGCGCGUGUGCGUGUGGCGCGUGUGCGCCCCUCGUCCCUUCCAUCCGAACGCGGUCUUGGAUGUUUAAUAAAGAAAUCAAGUGUCUCAACAGUCACCCCCCAAAAAAAAAAAAAAAAACCAAAAAAACCAAAACCCUCCAAAAAAGCAAAAAAAAAAAAAAAAAAAAAAAUCAAAAAGCGAGAGAGCGAGGGGGAGCGAGCUCCCAAAACAAACAAACAAACAAACAACCAGGCAGAGCCAACCUCUACUUGCGAGCAGCCGGCGCGAGCCGCCCGCGUCCGCCGCCCGGAGAGGGGGGUCUCCGCGGGCCCGUGGUGGAGGAGUUGCAGGGGGGAUCGCCGGGGGGACUGAGGCCGAGUGACGCCCCGGGAGCCGCCGGGCCGGAGGCGGAGGAGCCCCGGAGAGGCGAGAGAGCAGCGGGCCCCCGCGCGCGGCUCGGGGCUGGGCCGCCAGAAGUGGGACUGGAGCGAAGUAGAGCGAUGCCAAGGAGGAAACAGCAGGCACCCAAGCGGGCGGCAGGGAACACUGAUGUGAGCCAACUGUGCAUAUCUGCUGAUGAACCUUCCCAGGAAGUCAUGCUCUGGAACCCUCCACGGGCCUUGUGA